Molecule: ribosomal RNA, 387 nt
Filed under: uncultured bacterium
Lineage: Bacteria
Description: bacterial SSU rRNA
Rfam family: Bacterial small subunit ribosomal RNA
Source: RNAcentral
AUUGAACGCUGGCGGCAUGCCUUACACAUGCAAGUCGAACGGCAGCGGACCUUCGGGUGCCGGCGAGUGGCGAACGGGUGAGUAAUAUAUCGGAACGUACCUUUCAGUGGGGGAGUAACGUAGCGAAAGUUACGCUAAUACCGCAUAUUCUGUGAGCAGGAAAGCAGGGGAUCGCAAGACCUUGCGCUGAUUGAGCGGCCGAUAUCAGAUUAGCUAGUUGGUGAGGUAAAGGCUCACCAAGGCGACGAUCUGUAGCGGGUCUGAGAGGAUGAUCCGCCACACUGGAACUGAGACACGGUCCAGACUCCUACGGGAGGCAGCAGUGGGGAAUUUUGACAGUGGGCGCAAGCCUGAUCCAGCCAUGCCGCGUGAGUGAAGAAGGCCUCG